Molecule: long non-coding RNA, 2323 nt
Organism: Onychostoma macrolepis
Lineage: Eukaryota; Metazoa; Chordata; Actinopteri; Cypriniformes; Cyprinidae
Exons: 7
Source: RefSeq, a predicted model, not a curated record
GGAAAUCCCGCGCGGCGGAAGGAUACCCUCUCCUCAAGCAUACACAGUGGAGCAGCGGCGCGGUGGGAGUGACGGGAUUCAUUCGACUGUCAGCAACCGUUCAGGGUGUUGGAUAAAACAAUAAGCAGAUAAGCUUUGUGAAUUGCUGUUAUAAAGGGGAAGCUAAAAAGGUCAAAGAGAUGUUUGACAGUCCAAAAACAACUAACUGUCCAGCCAGAUGGUGUGAUGGUGCUGGUCCCUGUCUGAGUUCAUGCCUGUAUUCAAUGUUCCUGUUCUGAAUGCCUUUAUUUUUAUAUGAGAUGUAAGAGGCGUGUCACACUUACAUGAGCUUUGAAUUUUUAAUGCGUCUCACAGUCUGUUUGACACAGAAUUAUUUUAUAUGUAUGUGUAUGUAUGUAUAUUUUUAUUAAACUAAACAUUUUAUUUGUGUUGCUGAAAUGUAGCCUUCAACUGUCCUUCAUAUAAUGAGGUGGAUGGGGAUAACGAGAACAAGACAAAAUGGACCCAGUUUAGUGAGAUGGUGGUGGUUACUCUUGAACAGAAUGCCAUCAGCAGCCUUCAACAAACGAAAUACCAGACCUUUUUUCCUCUGACCAGACUCUGAUAAAGACACGUCAGAAAUCUCCAAGAAUAGGACACAUGUUCUUCUUACCAAAGCAGAAUAUGUAUAGAUUUUUUUUCUUGUGAAAUAUUGCUUUCCUUAUGAAUCUGGAAGGAAAUGGCUACGCAAGUUACUUUACAGACUUACAUUUUAUGUGAAAAGACCUUACAAGUUCAUGGUACCAGUUCCUCAAACACAAAUUCAAAGUGGAGCUGCACCUCUGGUUCUCAAUGAGCAAGGAGAAUGAUGCUGUCUCAAGAAACCCCAGGAUCCUGUCCCAGAUCUAUGUUAGGUGAACUUGUUGCCAUUGAAGAUGCAUCCUCCUGUGAAUGCCUUGGAUAUUCAGUGUAAUGUGUAUUCAGUGAUGUGAUCAGAUACCUUGCUUGUCAAAGCCAUAUGAUGUCUGUGUGGUAAGCUUUUGAAUUCAGUGUCUUAUGCUUUACAUUUCCACGUGUUGAAACUGAAUAGAGUAUAAUUAAACCAGGAGUUGGACUUUCAGGCCCUUGACACAUGCUCUGUUGUUGAUAAAUUGUGAUUCUCACGAAUGCUUGAAUUGUAUAUUUAAAAUGAAACAUGCAGUACUAAUUUUGGAAAAAGUGAAAUUGCCCAAUUUAUGUGAUAAAAUGUUAAUGGUAUGAAUGUUACAGUAAAAAUAAUUCAUAUUCAAGUUUAUUUGUAUUCACGAUGCAAAUCGUUUCAAAGCAGCUUUACACCGUGUCCUAACUACACGCGACGUCACACCGCGACGCGACAGAAUCAGUCAAAUAUCUUAGCCAAUCAGAAGCGUAUGUGGGCGGCCUCUCUCUGAAAGCGCACUACUCUUGCAAUGAAAUGGAUACAUUUAUAAUCUAAUUCAUAAAUUUUAAAGCUUUUUAACAUCAUUAAAUAUACAUACUGAGUGACUGAUAACAUCUUUGUUAUGGAGUACACUCGUUGGUUCGCAGUGAGUUCACAGUUUUAACGGUCAUCUUUUGAUUUAAUUUAUUUUUCAAGAUCUGAGGUAAACUAUCUGUUGUUGCUUUCAGUAUGGGUCACGCAAUAUGAUAUUAAACUCAUAUUAGACACGUUUAACUUUGAAUAAAGCAUAUAAUCACCUGACAUUAUCUACUGUUUUUCUGCGACAUCGCGGAAAUAGAAUAGUUUCUAAAUUAGAAAUUUUGCGUGUCGCUGUCGUGGCUAGUUAGGACAAAAACUCUGAUUAACAUGGAAAAGAUACCUUUUAUCGCGUGUCGCGGCGUCAUGUGUAGUUAGGACACGGUGUUAGAGAAAAUUUAAGUUUCUACAUUUUAUAUUUAGUAAUAGCUUAUUACUAUUACAGUGGUGACUAUCUCAAGUUGAUGUCCAUAUGGCAGAAAUGUAUGGUAAAAACUAACUAUGGCAGUUAGUUAAUGUCAUGUAAUCAAACAGACGGUGAACACUAUUAACAGCAAUGAUUAAAUGUUGUGAUCAAACAUAGCAAAAUUUAAAAAAUAAUACUGUUUUUGGAAAUUACUCAAUAUGAAUCCUACUAUAUUGAUACGAUAUUUAACGCUCAUUCUAUAAAUAUUGUGCACAAAAAUGAAUGCUGGGAUAUUUCCCUUUUUCAAUUUUUUUUUUUUUUUACAAUGUUGAACUGUAAUUUAUUAUCAUCCAUAGUGUUUUUAACCUCUGAUUUACGUGUACUGUACUUUAGUCCUUUCUAUUCAGGGGAUACAAAACCCAGUUUACAUUUGUAUUUUUGAA